Molecule: ribosomal RNA, 1494 nt
Filed under: uncultured Bordetella sp.
Lineage: Bacteria; Pseudomonadati; Pseudomonadota; Betaproteobacteria; Burkholderiales; Alcaligenaceae
Description: partial 16S-23S ribosomal RNA intergenic spacer
Rfam family: Bacterial small subunit ribosomal RNA
Source: RNAcentral
CAAGGAACAUCAGGUAACAGAGGGUUUGAUUAUGGCUCAGAUUGAACGCUGGCGGGAUGUGCUUUACACAUGCAAGUCGAACGGCAGCACGGACUUCGGUCUGGUGGCAGUGGCGAACGGGUGAGUAAUGCGCCUCAGACGUACUUUAAUGGCAGGGAUAACUACGCGAAAGCAGCAGCUAAUAUACGCCCUUCGAGGAAAAAGCGGGGACCUUCGGGCCUCGCACUAUUAGAGCGGCCGAUAUCGGAUUAACCAGUUGGUGGAGGUAACGGCUCAUGAGGCGGCCAGUCAAUGGCUGGUUUAGAAGGGACGACCAACCACACAGGACUGAGACACAGCCGAACUCCUACGGGAGGCAGCAGUGGGGGAAUUUUGGACAAUGGGGGAAACCUGAUCCAGCCAUCCCGCGUGUGCGAUGAAGGCCGCCGGGUUGUAAAGCACUUUUGGCAGGAAAGAAACGGCACGGGAUAAUACCCCGUGCAACUGACGGUACCUGCAGAAUAAGCACCGGCUAACUACGUGCAGCCGCGGUAAUACGUAGGGUGCAAGCGUUAAUCGAAUUACUGAACGUACAGCGUGCGCAGGCGGUUCGGAAAAGAAGAUGUGAAAUCCCAGAGCUUAACUUUGGAACUGCAUUUUAACUACCGAGCACAAGUGUGUCAGAGGAGUGGAAUUCCGCAAAUCGUAGCAGUGAAAUGCGUAGAUAUGCGGAGAGAACACCGAUGGCGAAGGCAGCCUCCUGGGAUAACACUGACGCUCAUGCAGCGUGAAGACAAACAGGUUGAUACCUGGUAGUCCACGCCCUAAACGAUGUCAACUAGCUGUGGGGCCUUCGGGCCUUGGUAGCGCAGCUAACGCGCCGGUUGACCACGCCUGGGAAGUACAGUUCGCCAAGAUUAAAACUCAGGAAUUGACGGGGACCCGCACAAGCGGUGGAUGAUGUGGAUUAAUUCGAUGCAACGCGAAAAACCUUACCUACCCUUGACAUGUCUGGAAUCCGAAGAGAUUUGGGAGUGUACUCAAGGAGAACCAGACCACAGGUGCUGCAUGGCUGUCGUCAGCUCGUGUCGUGAGAUGUUGGGUUAAGUCCCGCAACGAGCGCAACCCUUGUCAUUAGUUGCUACGAAAGGGCACUCUAAUGAGACUGCCAGUAGCAAACCGGAGGAAGGUGGGGAUGACAGUCGAAGUCCUCAUGGCCCUUAUGGGUAGGGCUUCACACGUCAUACAAUGGUCGGGACAGAGGUCGCCAACCCGCGAGGGGAGCCAAUCCCAGAAACCCGAUCGUAGUCCGGAUCGCAGUCUGCAACUCGACUGCGUGAAGUCGGAAUCGCUUCGUAAUCGCGGAUCAGCAUGUCGCGGUGAAUACGUUCCCGGGUCUUACAUACCCUAUGCGUCACACCAUGGGAGUGGGUUUUUAGAAGUAGUUAGCCUAACCGUAAGGAGGGCGAUUACCACGGUAGGAUUCAUGACUGGGGUGAAGUCGUAACAAGGUAA